Crotalus tigris (Tiger rattlesnake) is the source of this 4177-nucleotide long non-coding RNA. RefSeq lists it as uncharacterized. The transcript has 4 exons. The record is from RefSeq and is a predicted model, not a curated record. Lineage: Eukaryota; Metazoa; Chordata; Lepidosauria; Squamata; Viperidae.
ACGUAUAUAUGUAUAUGUAUAUCUAGGGGGUAUAGAAUUUCUUUUCUUUCUCUCUAUCUGAAUUCUCUUUCCUCCUUUAAAGUACUGCAGGCAUACAAAGAACAGACUGAAGCACUACCCAAAGUAUACAUUUAUUCUUUUCCAGAAAAACUUUGGGGGAAGGGUUUGUUAAAGAUCUUAUAAGCUUGGCACAUUUUCAGUGUAUGGCUGAAUGCCUGUAUCAGGCUCUUCAAAUCCAAGCCAGUUCCCACAUUCACCAUUCUCAGGGCCAAGGAAGCAUAAGAACCUGUCUGUUUGACCCACCUAACUCCUCUAUAAAAGCUCCCCGUUAGCCUGCUUUUUGUGGAUAAUUCAGAUGAGCUAAUCUAUGGGGCCAUAAGGAACCCAAAGUAUUUGCUGAAAAAGACACAGAGAUGCAGAUCAAAGCCAAAACCAUCCCAAGUGCUGAAGGACAAGUGGCUAGAAAAGAUUCUGCCCUACUGCUAACACAGUGGGAUGUAGAAGUUUAGCAAAGGUGUGAUGGCAACCAAGGCAUCCAAUUUCCUGCCAGCAAGCUCCCCCUGUGUAGGUCACUAGAGUUUAGCAGGGAUUAUGAGAAACUUUGCAGGAAGACGUUGUUUCUGUUACCAUCCAUAGGCAAAAUGGGAGAGGGGGAGAAAGGAUGGCGCUUGAACAAAAACGGCCUUGAUUUUGAAAAGCCAAGAAAUGUUCUUUGCCUGAGCAAAUUCAUUUUAGGUUAAUGAAGCAAGGCUGUACUUUCUUCCACCCCUUUUUCCAACUCUGUCUUGGACAAAAGCCAGUGAGAGAAACUGACUCAGAUGCUGGGAACCAGGGGAAAUUGUUGCCUUUUGUCCAAAGGGACCUUCAAAAGAUUUGCAAUUGUGUAGGAGAAGAGAACUGGUCAUACAGUUGAUUCAUCCCUCCCAAGAAUCCCUGCCAAAGUAUCAGGAACUAAACUGGCACAUUACAGACUAAUGAAGCAGGCUGUGUCCAUGUUACAAUAAGAUAAGAGAAAAUUUCCCACUAGGCCAUCUGAACCCACCACCCAGCGCACCCAUUUAGUGGAACUGAUUAUAGUGGGAUGCAUUUAGUACUAGGAGGCACUUAGCUGAACUAGAAUUACAUUUAUUGAUGAUUGGAACAGGGAUUAGUGCAUGGAUUAAAAGCAAAUUCACUAAGUGAGAGCAAGCAUCACAGCUUGCAAUACUUGGUAUUACCUCUCAGACUAGAGAUUCUGGACAUUUCAUCCUCCUCUCUAGGGAAUCCUGAUAGAUAAGAUUAUAAAUUUCUAAGUGAAUGAUCAGCACUCCUGCUGAACUACAAUUCCUAGGUUUCUUUGGGGAAAAUUAAGACAAUUAUAAUGGGACACAAAAAGUUUAUAAUACAGGACUGUCUGAAAAAAAAUGUUAUGAUGCAAGACAUUGUUCCUGGAACAGUACCUAUGAGCAGGUGAUAUGUGGAACAUGUUGUCAAUUAAUGAUUACAAUUAGAACAAGGUGUUUGGUUUCUUUCGUUCUGCCUUCAUGGAAGAAGGGAGAAAACAAGGAAAAAUGAACAGGUAAAACAGCUUUUUGUACAUGAUUUAAUUGCAUUUAUAGCUUAUUAUUCCCUUUAGUCAUUUUACAGUAAUUAUAGCAAUCUCUGUUAUUUAAUCCCCAAUAUGAUACUAUAUUCAGAUAUAACAAUUUGAAUUCUGGAACACAGGAUUCACAGCCAAUAAUUAUCAGCAAUUAUAACUAUGAAUGGUGGGUGAUGGAAAGAGCUCUUCCUCCACAAAGAAUGGAAAAUAAUCAGCUAAUUUUUAACUCAUCCUUAAAUUAUCUAAUUAUGGGGGACCAGAAGAUUGAUGAAAUUUAUCCAUCCUACCAAAUUAUUUAGUGAGGACAAUAUGGAAAAAGGGCAAUGAAGAACUCUAAAUGGAUUUCUACAAACAAGAGGAUCAGGCAUAAGGUGCUUAACCUCUUCCGCUGGGUGUGUUCAAACAGAGGUUUGAUAAUAAUGUAUCAGGAGUGCUUUUAUUUAGAUUCCUGCACUCAGCAAGAGAUUAGGUUGAUGGCUCCUUCCAAUUCUAGAUGAGGCUUACUAUAAACAGCACUGAAUGAUGCAUAUUAUAGCAUAGUAGUAAUAUUUUUUUUAAAAGCCUAAAUACUAAUGGCGAAUAGUCCAAGAGAGAGACUGACGAGGAAAGAGAUCUUCUGGUAGGGAUGGAAGCUUGGUGAAAACUUAAUUAAACUGUUCUGGAAAAGACAAUUUCCAUCUUGAGAAUCAUUAGAAAGGAUUUUUUAAAAAUGUCAUCAUAAUGAGUCAUAUUUGGAAUACUAUGGACAGUUCUGUUCAACAAACAAAAACAAAGAAGUGGUGAAAUCAUUUUCCUAUGGAAAAAAUUGCCAAAUUAAGCUUCUUUGCUUAGAAAAGAAAGAGGUAUAAAAUUGGACAAGUCAUUGAAAAAAUAAAAAUAAGUUCUUCUUCCCAUCAUUAGAUCAGAACUUUACAGCGUGUAAGUGAAUGGGAACAUGGUUCCUCAGAAACCAUCAUACUUGGGAGUCCUCCUUACCAGGUGUUGCGAGAUAUCUGCUCUAUGACAAAGAGUAACAGUAUCCUAUCAACCAGUGAAGUAUAGUGCUUUCUCUUGACUAUCAGUCUAUCCUAAUAUAAGUGUUGUCCUCCCUAGAGAAGAACUGUUUCACAAAGUAGGCCAUAUGAACCUAUCCUAUUUUGCAAUCCUACUUUGUAUUUAAUUAAACCCUGCCAUUACUACGAGGCUGAUGUUUUCAGUACUGUAUCAAUUUUCCAAUAGAAAGGGUAGUAAAGUAUCUGAAUCCUGAUUUAGAUUUCUUUUAAACCAUUUUAGCAAUUUUUAACCAAUGGAAAUACUGUACUGAAUUCUGUAUGUUAGGCCACACAGAGAGGACUGGCUUCAACCAAGGUCACCUCUGAGUUUUCACAUUAAUGGAUGGCAUUUCUUGAAUGCAAGCUGAUUUAGCCACACAAGGAGAAAUACUCCAGUCACUCAUUGUAAACUAAAAGACAGAAGCCUGGAGAAAAGAAUAAUGGGAAGGCUCUUUGUAAAUCACUCAGUCUUCUAAAGUUAAAGUGGUUUAAAAAAUUCAUAAAUAAAACAAGCUUAAGCAUACUUUGGCUAAGGAAGAAGUAUAGAAAACAACUUGAGAUUUAGAACUGCUUGACACAGCAGCAGGGAAACUGUUGUUUAAUCAAAACAUAGCUAAGGCCAAGAGGUGUCUGAGAUAACAAAGAGAGAAACAAGGAAGCCUUCAUUGCUGCCCUUCACUGUUCCCAGCUGCAGCAGCAGCAGCCUGGGGUUUACAUCACUGUUGGGCUUGAGCAGCAUUCAUAGUGGCUAUGAGAUAAAAGUAAAUUUACAGUUAUGUUAUCAGAUCUGCUUCUUGACCAGAUACCUGGUGAAUCAAAUGUAAUCUGUGAAAAUAUGAACACCUGCUGUACUUUUAGAAAGUGACGUUGAAAGUGAACAUCAUGUGAUCGGAGCAGGAGCCAGUAGCAAUGAAGUAGCCACCACUUUCCCAAAUUUCAUCCCUUGGGAGUCAUGGAUCCCAGACACAUGGACACAUUCUGAGUCAUAAUAAGCUUGAAUCCACAAAGCAAUUUACAGAUGUUAUUUUACUUCCGAUUUUAUUAUUCCCGUCUCCUAUAAUUAGUAAGAUAUAUUUCGCCAGUGUUGUAUCUACAAGAUGCUGCAAAUUGUUACAUCUGUUCAAACUGUUUACGCCCUGCCUCUGCUGUUGGAACAUAGUGGAAGCUCCUCUGAGGUGAAGUGAUUCAUUUUACUCCAUUUAAGCUUACUCAUCCCCUUGACAUAGAACUAUGAAUCAAGAUUCAGAACCAAACAGUCUACGUACCAGCAGUAGAUAUACCUUUGCAAUACUGAACUUUUUUUUUUUUUUGCCUCUGGGCGAUGUAGAUGACAUCAAUAUAUAUCCUAGUGUCACUGUUUAGAAUUGAGUGAAUUUUCUUGGAAACAAUUCUCACUGAAUUCUAUGGUAUUUAUUUCUAACGUCCCCAGAGUUGCAGCUAUGUAGACGUAUAGGGCAGUGAUGGCGAACCUUUUAGUGACCGAGUACCUAAACUGCAACCCAAAACCCACUUAUGCAUCGUCGGGUGCCUGGUGGGUGUGGCCCAUUGGGUGGGCAUGGCCCAUUGA